Molecule: ribosomal RNA, 253 nt
Filed under: uncultured bacterium
Lineage: Bacteria
Description: partial 16S ribosomal RNA
Rfam family: Archaeal small subunit ribosomal RNA
Source: RNAcentral
UACCAGCACCCCGAGUGGUCGGGACGAUUAUUGGGCCUAAAGCAUCCGUAGCCGGUCCUACAAGUCUUCCGUUAAAUCCACCUGCUUAACAGAUGGGCUGCGGAAGAUAAUAUAGGGCUAGGAGGCGGGAGAGGCAAGCGGUACUCAGUGGGUAGGGGUAGAAUCCUCUGAUCCAUUGAAGACCACCAGUGGCGAAGGCGGCUUGCCAGAACGCGCUCGACGGUGAGGGAUGAAAGCUGGGGGAGCAAACCGG